RNAcentral lists this long non-coding RNA (4696 nucleotides) under Macaca fascicularis (crab-eating macaque). RNAcentral's name for it is "lncRNA (ENSMFAG00000053619.1)". The record is from RNAcentral. Lineage: Eukaryota; Metazoa; Chordata; Mammalia; Primates; Cercopithecidae.
UUUUUUUCUAGUCUCAGGUACCUUCUUGUCCUAUUAUUUUUACUGAUAUUUUUUGCUUUUAUACUACUACACCUGGGCUUUUAUAGCCUCUGCCUAAACAGAAAGUGCUUCUUGUCUUUUGAUGAACAAUCAGUCCAUCUAUUUUCAUGUAUUUUUUGCUCAGAGCCUUUUGCUUCAUUUACUUUUCUCCUCAUUCUCGUUUUUAAAUUCCAACUUAAGUAUUCGAGUUAAGGUUUACAUUAUUUCAGAUGGUUGAGGCUGCCAAAGAAGGCUGAUCCUUAGUUCCCUGGAAGUUACUUUACAUUCUGAUUGUACUUUAUUCCUUACUUUUGUGAUUUUAUAUUUAAGGGAUAAUUACUUUGUACAAUGAUAUGGUUAGGCUUUGUGUCCCCAUCCAAAUCUCAUCUUAAACUGUAAUCCUCAUAAUCCCCAUAAUCCCCAUGUGUCAAGGGAGAGAACAGGUGGAGGUAACUGAAUCCUGGGGGUGGUUUCCCCAUGCUUUUCUCAUAAUAGUGAGUUAGCACAAGAUGUGAUGGUUUUAUAAGGGACUCUUUCCCCCUUCACUCAGCACUUCUUCCUGUCACCUUGUGAAGAAGGUACCUUGCUACUCUUCACCUUUCACCAUGAUUGCAAGUUUCCUGAGGUCUCCCUAGCAACGUGCAACUGUAAGUCAAUUAAACCUCUUUCCUUUAUAAGUUACCCAGUCUUGGGUAUUUCUUCAUAGCAUUGUUAAAACGGACUAAUACACACAUAUAAUUAUUUUCAUUGCCAUUAACCUUCUACCCUUAGUUACCAGGGUAACUGGUAACUAUGGCCUAAAGUCAGACCAGUUGUUUUCACUCAAGGAGGGGUUGGAGAAACACUGGAUGUAUCUCCAUCAGUCACAAGGAGUAAUACAAUCUAAUAUUACUAAUAAUAAAGCACAAAUAUUUUAAAUGGAUGACAAAUUAUCACUUUAACAAAUCACUCUUGAGCACGCCUUAUGAUUUCUUGAGUGGGAAAGAAAGAGGUAGUGAUAUGACUAGCAUAACACAAAGCUUAACUUAUAAUGCUAGAGCCAUUAAUCUGUAGGCUAGAAUGAACAUGUGUUCCAUAUAUGAGUGUUAUAUGUCACAUAUGUCUCAGACAAUCAAGGUUGAAAAUGAUUGGUUUAGUCAAAGGAUAAUCAAUUCAAAUAUAUCCAGGGCCAGAUGGAGCUGUGGUACAUAUGAAGCUCUUGGCAAAAGGAAUAAGACAGAGGGGUUGGGAGGGGAGAGUGGUGAAAUGAACAGUGCAUGUGCUAGUUCAAGAGUUUAAAUCCAGUUUUGUUUGUGUUUUAAAUACUGGAAAAAUGAAACAAAAAUCUAUAAACCAGAUCUGGACUGCAGGCUCAGUAAGGUCCAUGUUCAUAUUAUGCUUGAAUUAAGUUAUUUAGCAUCAAUAAUUAAAAGUAAAAUGAAGCAGUACCUUACUUCUUUCCAACAGUGCAGCAGCAAGAGCCUCUGCAGUGGGCAUUCAUAAUAUUUCUAGUGCUCAGCACCUGAACCCCCUUCCUCUGAUUAGGAAACUCUUCUCUCAUGAGUCUUGGUGGGAGCAGAAUUCAGCUUUUUCUCAAGCUGAAAAUGUCAGGAACUCACUUGCUGGGCCUUUCUGCAGUAAGGGUGUGGCACACAACCUAAGCUUCAUCGAUCAGACACAUUUUCCCAGAAUUAGGGGGUCCAACCAGAACUGUUGGCAGCAGAGAAUUCAGGAAAUAAAGUUUCUGGGGUAACAGCAGCAAUGCCAUCUGUGUUCACAGAAUAAGAACUGCAUUAGGUGUUGGACAGAAAAGAGUUAAUAUAGCAGAUAUGAGACUGAUACCCUUAAAAAUUUGGUCUGCCUAUGAAGUCAGACCUUGACUGGUAUCUAGGAACAUAGAUCUUGGAAGGGUUCCCCCAUUCCCUAAGUACUACAUUGUGUGUACACACAACAUAAUUUACGCUAAAUACUUGUUUUCCUUCUAAGAGUUUGGAAUUUUGGUAUGCACCUCGCAGAGGAUGCCGACAUGACCAGCCCCCAAUAAAAACCUGGGUACUGAGUCUCUAAUGACCUUCCUUGGUAGAUAACAUGUCAGCUCUAUUGUCAAAACUCUUUAUUAGAGAAAUUAGAAGUACCCUCUGUGACUUCACUAGUGGAAGACUCUUGGAAACUUUCACUGGGUUUCUCCCAAUCAUUGUUCCAUGUACAUUUUCCCUUUGCUGAUUUUGUUUGAUAUCCUUCCACUAUAAUAAAUCACAGCCAUGAACACAACUAUGUUGAGUCCUGUAAUUCCUCCUAGCAAGUCAUCAAAACUGGGAGCGGUCUUAGGGGCCCCCAAGACAGGCAUCAAUGGAAGUGGCAUCUUCCACAGUCCAUUUAGGUAGUAUAAUUUGGCUGUGUAAACUUGAAUCUGUUUCCUAAACCUCCUGGCAAUUUUGUGAGCUAUCCAGCAUUCCUUAUGUAAAUACUCUUCCCUUUAAAUCAGUCAGAAUUUAUUUCUGUUGCUUGCAACUUUAGAACCACAUCUGAUACAACCUCCAACUUGGCUUAGGAUGUCUUCACUCUUAUUCACCUUUAUGAAUGCCUCUCAUGUUACUCUUUCCCAACUAAGGACUAUAUGGCGGCUUCACAUUAUCCAAGAAUCUUAACAUCCAAUCAUCUUUAGCAGUCAGAAUUAUAGUACUAAUGCUAAUGCACUCCUCUAUUCCUGAACACCAUUUCUCAACUCCGGCCAAGUUUACCUACUAAACUUCCCUAUAAUCUCUACUAUCUGCCUUUUGCUCAUGCUAGCCAGAAUCUACCUUCAAUUUUACACAAUAAGUCAAUCUCCAAACAAGUUGUAAUUAAUUGAUUUUCUUAUAGGCUCACUGGCUGGAGAAUAAUCUGGACCCAGGAUUGGUAUCAUCUUCUAGUGUCCUUAUUGCUGAUAAUUAAUAUUGACUCUCCUAUCUGCCCAUCUCAGACCCUGACCUCCUGCUGACAUAAAUUUAUGACCUGUCAGACCUGUAUGUGCAAGGAGUCCUUAUCUAGUCAACUUCAAGAUUCAAAUAAUGGGCAUCUACUUUAGUUGGAACUGCCUGGCUGUCAUAAUCAUGAUACCUAUCUGGGACCUCUUCUAUUCUACCACCAUGUAAAGAGGUCUAUUCAACCACCAUGUAAAGAGAUAGGUAUCUGGGACCUCUUCUAUUCUACCACACUGUAAAAAUUCUGUUUGCUCCUCUCACUUUUACUAUCAACAAUCCACAUUUUCUUAGCUGAUAACAGGUUUAGAUUAUUAACUGUGAAGAGUAAGGAAUAACAUAUUAAGAUGUAUAUGAUCAAUAAAAACAUAAGGUGAUAAUGGACAGAGAUGUGAGAAACCAUUAAAGAUGACAGGGGAUACUAACAUAAAUAUAUUCUAAGUAUAUUUUGGAGAUUUACAUAUUCCUAGAGUAAAAUCAUAUAUAAUAUUAAAUAAACACUUCUAUAAAGGCAGGGACACCAAAAAACAGAAACAGGAAGAAAGAGUAGACUUUUGAAGCAGAUGAGUAAGGUGGGACCCUUCCAAGAGUGAAAAAGAACUGCCACUUACAGCUAAAUAUUUGUCUAUUAAUAUCCCAAUUCAUAGCUAUACUCAACACAAUGGUUUCAAGAAAUGCACAUCAAGGCAAUUCUACAGCAGAUUUCUACCACCAAUUCCCACAAGGAGCCUUCUCUGAUAUCACUUCAUGCUCAGGCAUACAAAUGUAUUUUUCAGUGGCAGAGGUUCUGUUUAGUGUUUGUUUGUUUCUCCUUUACCUUGGACCUCAUCCUCUCAUACUCUCUUCCUUGCUAUUUUUUAGGUGAAGAAUAGGAAGAAACAAUAAACCCUAAAUCUGUACCAACAAGCCACACGCCUUUAUUUCUAUUUAGACUCAGUUCUUUACUAACUGGUUUUAUGUUGUUGCGAAAAUUAAUUACUGAGUGAAUUUCUUUUAAAAACUCACAUAUUACCAUGUCUUAUCUCAUUCUAUUAAAAUAUUUCAUUUUAAAAAAAUUCUGUCACAAACUUCUUUGAUUUUUUAAACCAUCCUCAAUAUAAUUCACCAAUAUACUUUCAUGUUUCAUAUGUUUUAAUUUUAUAAAUAUUUGAGAAAAAUAAAAACACCUGAUUCUUCUUCUUACCUUUAACUUCCACAAUAAAUAAUAUAAAGGUAAACACACAGUAGCCAGUUAAUGGAAAAAUUGUUUAACAAUCAUGAUCUACAGAGCUGGGAAGAAAGGAACUAGCUAGCUUACACUUGGUUACUAGAACUAAAUAACUUUAUGCAAGAAAAUACAAUCACAUAUACUAGUCAGUAGACUUAAUGAGGCAUUUAUGAAGUGUUAGAUAGACCAUCCUUAUCUCCAACCUGUACCCACCUGCCCCUCAAAAGAUUUUCCAAAGCUGUUGUGAAUAAUGGAUAAGAGGUAUGUAUUACAGAGUCAAACUGCCUGGCCAAAUUCUGUCUUUCAAGCUCACUUAAGAGAUCUUCAGUAAAUGUACUCAACCCCCUAAGCCUCAGCUUUCUUAUAUGAAAAAUAGUGAUAAUGAUGCUCUUUUAUAACCCUAUUUUAGUGAAUAAAUAGGAUAAUACUUAGCAUAUUACUUGACUCAAAUUAAGUACUCAGUAAAUAUUAUUGUCAAAAUGAGAAUUAGCCAUUCAUUUAGAGUUGAGGCUAGGAGGGAAUAAAACAUCAA